GAUGAACGCUGGCGGCGUGCCUAACACACGCAAGUCGAACGAAGCACCUUACCUGAUUCUUCGGAUGAAAGUUUGGUGACUGAGUGGCGGACGGGUGAGUAACGCGUGGGUAACCUGCCCUGUACAGGGGGAUAACAGCUGGAAACGGCUGCUAAUACCGCAUAAGCGCACGAGGAGACAUCUCCUUGUGUGAAAAACUCCGGUGGUACAGGAUGGGCCCGCGUCUGAUUAGCUGGUUGGCAGGGUAACGGCCUACCAAGGCAACGAUCAGUAGCCGGUCUGAGAGGAUGAACGGCCACAUUGGAACUGAGACACGGUCCAAACUCCUACGGGAGGCAGCAGUGGGGAAUAUUGCACAAUGGGGGAAACCCUGAUGCAGCAACGCCGCGUGAGUGAAGAAGUAUUUCGGUAUGUAAAGCUCUAUCAGCAGGGAAGAUAAUGACGGUACCUGACGAAGAAGCUCCGGCUAAAUACGUG
Molecule: ribosomal RNA, 477 nt
Filed under: uncultured bacterium
Lineage: Bacteria
Description: partial 16S ribosomal RNA
Rfam family: Bacterial small subunit ribosomal RNA
Source: RNAcentral